GUGGAAUCCAGUGAGUGGAAGCUCUCAAAGUGUUCUUGUUUAUCUUCCUUUGUUGCCUUUUUAUCCCAGGUUCUUGUGUUCCAGAGAGAGGCAGUUGCAGUUGGGCAGUUGGGAUUUCAACUUGUGUCCAGAAGCAGGAAGUAUCAUAAAUCUUGUGAAGUGACCUGCUUUUGAGAAAUCUGCAGUUCAGUUGACAGAUGAUGGCACUGGGAAAAGGGGCAGCUGAGACAGACUCAAGUGACGCCUGUUACUCUACCUGGUAUCCCCGAGACUGCGGUCCUGAUAAUGUGGCCCUGCAUGUGUGUCAUUCAGGAAAGGUUUGAUGGGAGAAUAACAUAAUUCAAGUUUAAAAGGCGAGAAGAAAGAUACUGGAAGAAAUGG
Molecule: long non-coding RNA, 381 nt
Filed under: Microcebus murinus (gray mouse lemur)
Lineage: Eukaryota; Metazoa; Chordata; Mammalia; Primates; Cheirogaleidae
Description: lncRNA (ENSMICG00000048555.1)
Source: RNAcentral